This 440-nucleotide ribosomal RNA is filed under the name Burkholderiaceae bacterium Ellin7106. RNAcentral's name for it is "bacterial SSU rRNA". It matches the Rfam family "Bacterial small subunit ribosomal RNA", at positions 29 to 472 of the family's 1533-position model. Lineage: Bacteria; Pseudomonadati; Pseudomonadota; Betaproteobacteria; Burkholderiales; Burkholderiaceae. The record is from RNAcentral.
AUGAACGCUGGCGGCAUGCUUACACAUGCAAGUCGAACGCAGCACGGGGGCAACCUGGUGGCGAGUGGCGAACGGUGAGUAAUACAUCGGAACGUGUCCUGGAGUGGGGAUAGCCCGGCGAAAGCCGGAUUAAUACCGCAUACGCUCUAUGGAGGAAAGCGGGGGAUCUUCGGACCUCGCGCUCAAGGGGCGGCCGAUGGCGGAUUAGCUAGUUGGUAGGGUAAAGGCCUACCAAGGCGACGAUCCGUAGCUGGUCUGAGAGGACGACCAGCCACACUGGGACUGAGACACGGCCCAGACUCCUACGGGAGGCAGCAGUGGGGAAUUUUGGACAAUGGGGGCAACCCUGAUCCAGCAAUGCCGCGUGUGUGAAGAAGGCCUUCGGGUUGUAAAGCACUUUUGUCCGGAAAGAAAUCCUCUGGGUUAAUACCUCGGGGGGA